This 608-nucleotide ribosomal RNA is filed under the name uncultured Acidobacteriota bacterium. Its description in RNAcentral is "bacterial SSU rRNA". It matches the Rfam family "Bacterial small subunit ribosomal RNA", at positions 61 to 701 of the family's 1533-position model. The record is from RNAcentral. Lineage: Bacteria; Pseudomonadati; Acidobacteriota.
GUCGCACGAGAAAGGGGAGCAAUCCCUGAGUAAAGUGGCGCACGGGUGAGUAACACGUGAAUAAUCUACCUCCGAGUGGGGAAUAACUGAGAGAAAUCUUAGCUAAUACCGCAUAAUACCCACGGGUCAAAGCAGCAAUGCGCUUGGAGAGGAGUUCGCGGCCGAUUAGCUAGUUGGCGGGGUAAUGGCCCACCAAGGCGAUGAUCGGUAUCCGGCCUGAGAGGGCGCACGGACACACUGGAACUGAAACACGGUCCAGACUCCUACGGGAGGCAGCAGUGGGGAAUUUUGCGCAAUGGGGGAAACCCUGACGCAGCAACGCCGCGUGGAGGAUGAAGCCCCUUGGGGUGUAAACUCCUUUCGAUCGGGAAGAUGAUGACGGUACCGAUAUAAGAAGCCCCGGCUAACUUCGUGCCAGCAGCCGCGGUAAUACGAGGGGGGCAAGCGUUGUUCGGAAUUAUUGGGCGUAAAGGGUGCGUAGGCGGUUUGACAAGUCUGAUGUGAAAUCUAUGGGCUCAACCCAUAGUCUGCAUCGGAAACUGUCGGGCUUGAGUAUGGGAGAGGUGAGUGGAAUUUCCGGUGUAGCGGUGAAAUGCGUAGAUAUCGGA